CACACACAACCCUAACCCUUCUCCCUCUUCUCUCUCGGCGGUAUCGCCGCUCCACUAGGUCGCCGGAGCACCGUUCGCCGCCACUUCGUCGGGUCGCUGCUGUCUCGCCGUCAACGCCGCCAGCUAUUGACCGGCGGCAAGCCCUUGCUGCUGUCGUCGCGCGAGAAAUUGGGGGAAAACAGCGCCUCUGCAAUUCCCUCUUCGUUCAUCCCUCGUUCAUUCUCGGCGACUCAGCGCCGUCGCCGGCAUCUCCGGCUGAGGCAGACGCUGCUUGGUCUAUAUGAUGACAUGAAAAUUUGAUUGGGAGAAAGGGUGAGGUGUAUUACCUCUUGAAGUAGUGAAGGAAUGGGCUGCCUUUGUUGCUGCUCACUACUUGCUCCACCCUCAAACUCUCUGUUUUGCUGAAAUUUCUUGCGGUGUGGAAGAGGGUUCAUAUGUGGUGUGGAGGGUUUUUAUAGGCAGAUUUUUGAGGUACUAUGGGGAAUUAAUUUGGGCUGUUAUACUACUUUGUUCUCAUCUUGCAGGAGAUCCCCUUUGACUAUGAUUCUGCAGCAAGAUAUACUUGAGAAUUGGCUCUAUUUGAGUACCUAGUACUUGGCUAUUAACUCCCAUUGUUUGCUUGUGGCUGGUGAGAAACAGGUGCUGCAUUAGGGUGGAGAAUUUGCAGGCUGGACUUGCCCCUUUUGGGUGAGAGAGAAAUCUUGGCUACUACCUAGCUGUACCUCGAGCGGGCCUGGGUUCGUUGUCUGGGCCGACGGGCUGCUCGAAACGGGCCCUAAUUUGGGCCUGGAGAAAAGGCCCGAAGUGCACCCAAAAUUUUAUAUUUUCCUUUCCUUGUUUUCUUUCUUUGAGGACUUUGAUCCAUGUAACCUAUUUUAUUAGUUGUUCAUUUUAUUGAACA
Salvia hispanica is the source of this 901-nucleotide long non-coding RNA. RefSeq lists it as uncharacterized. NCBI's taxonomy places the organism in Eukaryota, Viridiplantae, Streptophyta, Magnoliopsida, Lamiales, Lamiaceae. The record is from RefSeq and is a predicted model, not a curated record.